Molecule: ribosomal RNA, 404 nt
Filed under: Falcidens sp. C NTM-2018
Lineage: Eukaryota; Metazoa; Mollusca; Caudofoveata; Chaetodermatida; Chaetodermatidae
Description: partial 16S ribosomal RNA
Rfam family: Bacterial large subunit ribosomal RNA
Source: RNAcentral
UAAAUUGCCGUGGUAUUUUGACCAUGCUAAGGUAGCAUAAUCAUUUGGCCUUUAAUUGAGGUCUGGCAUGAAGGGUUGAACGAAAACUCUACUUUAUUAAGUUAAGACUAAAAUUUAUUUUUUAGGUGAAGAAACCUAAAUAUAAAAAAAGGACAAGAAGACCCUAUCGAGCUUUAUUGAAAGAAGUGCUAUUUACUUUGUGAAAUUUGGUUGGGGCAACCGAGGAAUUAACUUCUUUGAGAUAAAGAAUUUUUUAUAUAAGAGAAGUUACCGUAGGGAUAACAGCAUAAUUUUUUUUUAGAGUUCAUAUUAAAAAAAAAGUUUGUGACCUCGAUGUUGGAUUAAGAUAACCUAAAGGAGUAGAAAAUUUUGAAGGUUGGUCUGUUCGACCAUAAAAAUCUUAC